Daphnia pulicaria is the source of this 549-nucleotide long non-coding RNA. RefSeq lists it as uncharacterized. The transcript is spliced from 3 exons. Lineage: Eukaryota; Metazoa; Arthropoda; Branchiopoda; Diplostraca; Daphniidae. The record is from RefSeq and is a predicted model, not a curated record.
UCUUAAAUAGGCCCGUAUUUUUUUACUGUAUUUUCUUAUUUAUCAUCAAUAUUUGAGCUUUUUAGUGGUGUUUUUCGUACUCAGCUUUCAAAUUUACCCUAUGUACAUCUAUUUCCAGUCAUUUUGUCUUAAUUUUUUUACCAGUUAUCUUUCUCUCUCUUGCCUAUAGGAACUGUGAAAUGGUAAAUUCGUGAUUUUAAGGUAUAUUUAUCACAUUAAGUAACUCAGUUUAUUACAGGUGAUAUUUCCUUCAGUAACCAGCUUUUUUCCCAUCAAAACACCCCUAUUUUCUUUGUAAAAUAUCAAUUAUGGGGUAGGGCUUGGGACCCUUUUUCUGAAGAAAUUACCAGUAUUAUUGGUUAUCAGUGGAAUUUUCUUCAUCGUUAACUAUGAAGGCUGGAAUAAGAACAUGUUCCUGUGUUAAACAACCCUAUACACAUUCAGAUUCAGUUAUAUAUUCUUAGUUUAGUUAAAAUUUUCCUUCGCUCUGAAGCAUAGGGUAAAAUGGAGUUUUGUUAAUUUAAACUAAAAUUUGAAUUGUUUUAAUUG